UAAUCACCAGCUUCGGCGGCCGCGGCUUUUCCUCCUCCGCCACCACCGCUGGUGGCGCCGCCGCCGCCGCCACCGCUGCUGCUGCCGUCUUAUUCUCCGCUGCGCGUUUAAGGGCUUGGAUGCGGGGGAGGUAGGCGGCGUCGAGAAGGCGGCGGAAGUCGAGGAUGGUCUGGUUCGCCGGCGAGGUGAGGGAGGGGUCGACGGCGAGCUCAUCGUGGAUGCGGAGGCCGACGGUGACCUCCGGGAAGCAGUGGGUGCGGUGGUCGCCGGAGAAGUCGACGGGGGGGAAGGCGGAGAGUUGGGAGAGGACGUCGCCAUACUUGGUGACCCACCAUGAAUGGUACUCGACGAUGACGAAGACCACGCGGCGGUUGUAGCGGAGGGAGGUGAUGUACAGAGGGAUGAGGCCGUCGUUGAACUCAUGGUAGAGGUUACCGGUGUAGCCGCCGGUGGAGAAGACGAUGGCGGGGACCCCAUGGACGACGUCGCAGUGUUGGGCGCCGCCGCCGCCGGAGCUAUUGAGGACGACGAGGUCCAGCUCCUGGAUGGUGCUCAUCACGCUGGUCUCCCAUUUCCGGGUGUAGGGCCGGAUCUUCUCCACACGGAUGGGGGAACCGUCGCCGGAGGAGGAGGCGUUGUUCCCGCCGGCGAAGAGGAGGAUGGAGGAGGUGGAGGGACUGGUACGGACGUCGCCCCGGAGAACGCAGACGUCGGACCGGAUGCUAGAGGUACGGUCACACCAGAUGGAGUUCUCCGGCACGGAGGAGUAGCUCACCUCGCCGGCGUCGGAGGGGAAGACGGACUCCGGUUCAGAGCCUG
RNAcentral lists this long non-coding RNA (819 nucleotides) under Spirodela polyrhiza (greater duckweed). RNAcentral describes it as "long non-coding RNA (SPOL_LNC001858)". Lineage: Eukaryota; Viridiplantae; Streptophyta; Magnoliopsida; Alismatales; Araceae. The record is from RNAcentral.